Ceratotherium simum simum (southern white rhinoceros) is the source of this 361-nucleotide non-coding RNA. NCBI's taxonomy places the organism in Eukaryota, Metazoa, Chordata, Mammalia, Perissodactyla, Rhinocerotidae. The record is from RefSeq and is a predicted model, not a curated record.
UCCGUCAUGUGGUGUUCAGAGCUUGCUGUACGGAGUGUGGUUUUUAAUUUUUGGCAAUUUCAUCCUUUCUUUAAAUACUCGUGUCAUGUUUGUGCUGUUGUCAGUGCUUCUCAGACCCUCCAGAAGAGAGGGAGCUGCUUAUUCCAUGAUUCUCAAGACAGCUUCAUCCAGACACUGGCCAUGGCUCAUAAAGAGGUGAAGGAAUAGAGGUGAAGGAAAUCUGGAGAACGUUCAGAGAUGAGCCCAGAUAACGUCAAAGUUGGAAAUUAAGACCUAAAAGUGAUAAUCAGGUAAUAGUAAACAUGGAGAGAAGUGAGCUAACUGGAGAUUGUGACAUCUUUAAUCAUAUGAACUUCUUAGA